GCUUUGGGAAAGACUUCUGAGAGGAGUCUACACUGUUUCCCAAGCAUCAUCAAACCCUGCAAUAGUCUUUCAAAUCUGCCCUAGCCAUUGAAAAGGUAAGGGGGAAACAUCACUGUGUAACUGGGUAUUUUCUAAUCCUUGUGCCUCUGU
This 150-nucleotide long non-coding RNA is filed under the name Felis catus (domestic cat). Its description in RNAcentral is "lncRNA (ENSFCAG00000043863.2)". The record is from RNAcentral. Lineage: Eukaryota; Metazoa; Chordata; Mammalia; Carnivora; Felidae.